Molecule: ribosomal RNA, 253 nt
Filed under: uncultured bacterium
Lineage: Bacteria
Description: partial 16S ribosomal RNA
Rfam family: Bacterial small subunit ribosomal RNA
Source: RNAcentral
UACGUAGGGGGCAAGCGUUGUCCGGAUUUAUUGGGCGUAAAGCGCUCGCAGGUGGUUCGCUGCGUCGUGCGUGAAAGCCCCCGGCCCAACUGGGGAGGGUCACGCGAUACUGAUCGACUCGAAGGCAGGAGAGGGAAGUGGAAUUCCCGGUGUAGUGGUGAAAUGCGUAGAUAUCGGGAGGAACACCAGUGGCGAAGGCGACUUCCUGGCCUGUUCUUGACGCUGAGGCGCGAAAGCUAGGGGAGCAAACGGG